AUCUAUUUAGUUUAAAAUUUUUGAAAAUGUAAUUUGAAAAAAUACAGGUUUUUUAGGCG
RNAcentral lists this transfer RNA (59 nucleotides) under Spirocerca lupi. RNAcentral describes it as "tRNA-Phe". Lineage: Eukaryota; Metazoa; Nematoda; Chromadorea; Rhabditida; Thelaziidae. The record is from RNAcentral.